Etheostoma cragini (Arkansas darter) is the source of this 132-nucleotide long non-coding RNA. RefSeq lists it as uncharacterized. The record is from RefSeq and is a predicted model, not a curated record. The transcript has 3 exons. Lineage: Eukaryota; Metazoa; Chordata; Actinopteri; Perciformes; Percidae.
CAAGGAUUUAUUAAUCCUCGAGCCUUUUCUGUUCACUAAGCAGUGGGUUUACCUUAUUGUUAUCAGCCUGCAUUAAAACACAACAGGUGCAUAUUGCUGUUCAUUUAAUUAUUGUUAUUAUUAUAUUGUUGU